AGAGUUUGAUUAUGGCUCAGGAUGAACGCUAGCGACAGGCUUAACACAUGCAAGUCGAGGGGCAGCGGGGAGGUAGCAAUACUUCCGCCGGCGACCGGCGCACGGGUGAGUAACACGUAUGGAACCUGCCCGUAGCAGGGGGAUAAGCGGAAGAAAUUCCGUCUAAUACCGCGUAAUAACUCCGAGAGGCAUCUCUUGGGGUUUAAAGGGUAACACCGGCUACGGAUGGCCAUGCGGCGCAUUAGCUAGUUGGCGGGGUAACGGCCCACCAAGGCGACGAUGCGUAGGGGUUCUGAGAGGAAGGUCCCCCACACUGGUACUGAGACACGGACCAGACUCCUACGGGAGGCAGCAGUGAGGAAUAUUGGUCAAUGGGCGCGAGCCUGAACCAGCCAAGUCGCGUGAGGGAAGACGGUCCUAUGGAUUGUAAACCUCUUUUGUCGGGGAGCAAAAGGCGCCACGUGUGGCGUUCCGAGAGUACCCGAAGAAAAAGCAUCGGCUAACUCCGUGCCAGCAGCCGCGGUAAUACGGAGGAUGCGAGCGUUAUCCGGAUUUAUUGGGUUUAA
Molecule: ribosomal RNA, 566 nt
Filed under: uncultured bacterium
Lineage: Bacteria
Description: bacterial SSU rRNA
Rfam family: Bacterial small subunit ribosomal RNA
Source: RNAcentral